GUGGGGAAUCUUGCGCAAUGGGGGAAACCCUGACGCAGCGACGCCGCGUGGGUGAUGAAGGCCUUCGGGUCGUAAAGCCCUGUCGGAGGGGAAGAAGGAUUGGCGUUCAAAUAGGGCGCUGAUCUGACGGUACCCUCAAAGGAAGCACCGGCUAACUCCGUGCCAGCAGCCGCGGUAAUACGGAGGGUGCAAGCGUUGCUCGGAAUCACUGGGCGUAAAGAGCGUGUAGGCGGUUUCGUAUGUCUGGCGUGAAAGCCCCGGGCUCACCCCGGGAAGUGCGCUGGAAACUGCGAGACUAGAGUCCCGGAGAGGAAGGUGGAAUUCCAGGUGUAGCGGUGAAAUGCGUAGAUAUCUGGAAGAACACCGGUGGCGAAGGCGGCCUUCUGGACGGUGACUGACGCUGAGACGCGAAAGCGUGGGGAGCAAACAGGAUUAGAAACCCUGGUAGUCC
RNAcentral lists this ribosomal RNA (451 nucleotides) under uncultured bacterium. Its description in RNAcentral is "bacterial SSU rRNA". It matches the Rfam family "Bacterial small subunit ribosomal RNA", at positions 354 to 796 of the family's 1533-position model. The record is from RNAcentral.